Molecule: non-coding RNA, 23 nt
Filed under: Arabidopsis thaliana (thale cress)
Lineage: Eukaryota; Viridiplantae; Streptophyta; Magnoliopsida; Brassicales; Brassicaceae
Source: RNAcentral
GUCACCGUGACAGAUUCCUCCCU